ACGCUGGCGGCAGGCCUAACACAUGCAAGUCGAGCGGUAGAGAGAAGCUUGCUUCUCUUGAGAGCGGCGGACGGGUGAGUAAUGCCUAGGAAUCUGCCUGGUAGUGGGGGACAACGUCCGGAAACGGACGCUAAUACCGCAUACGUCCUACGGGAGAAAGCAGGGGACCUUCGGGCCUUGCGCUAUCAGAUGAGCCUAGGUCGGAUUAGCUAGUUGGUGGGUAAUGGCUCACCAAGGCGACGAUCCGUAACUGGUCUGAGAGGAUGAUCAGUCACACUGGAACUGAGACACGGUCCAGACUCCUACGGGAGGCAGCAGUGGGGAAUAUUGGACAAUGGGCGAAAGCCUGAUCCAGCCACGCCGCGUGUGUGAAGAAGGCCUUCGGGUUGUAAAGCACUUUCAGCGAGGAGGAAGGGUUCAGUGUUAAUAGCACUGUUCAUUGACGUUACUCGCAGAAGAAGCACCGGCUAACUCCGUCCCAGCAGCCGCGGUAAUACGGAGGGUGCAAGCGUUAAUCGGAAUUACUGGGCGUAAAGCGCACGCAGGCGGUUUGUUAAGUCAGAUGUGAAAUCCCCGAGCUUAACUUGGGAACUGCAUUUGAAACUGGCAAGCUAGAGUCUUGUAGAGGGGGGUAGAAUUCCAGGUGUAGCGGUGAAAUGCGUAGAGAUCUGGAGGAAUACCGGUGGCGAAGGCGGCCCCCUGGACAAAGACUGACGCUCAGGUGCGAAAGCGUGGGGAGCAAAC
Molecule: ribosomal RNA, 744 nt
Filed under: uncultured bacterium
Lineage: Bacteria
Description: bacterial SSU rRNA
Rfam family: Bacterial small subunit ribosomal RNA
Source: RNAcentral